Molecule: long non-coding RNA, 315 nt
Organism: Oncorhynchus tshawytscha (Chinook salmon)
Lineage: Eukaryota; Metazoa; Chordata; Actinopteri; Salmoniformes; Salmonidae
Source: Ensembl
CAAAAACCCCAGGAAGAUUGACACUUCAUGUGCACUGGAUUGGCAUAUUUUUGCAUUUCUCAGAGAGCCUGGAUUGGCCUGACUGACAUGAUGAAGAGGAGACCUGGAAAUGGUCCCACGUCUCGUCAUCCUGCUUCUCUGUCCUGGAUUCCCCACUCUACUUCUCCCUUGGAUUCCCCUCCAGACCUGCUUUACCCAGUCCCAACCCCUCUCGCUCCAGCCCCAGCCUCCGCACCUGGUUUCCUGCAACCCGCCCAAGCUUCCCCUGACCUGCACUCCAUCUUCAACCCUGUGUUUUAAUAAAUACCUUGGUUA